GACGAACGCUGGCGGCGUGCCUAAUACAUGCAAGUUGAGCGCUGAAGGUUGGUACUUGUACCAACUGGAUGAGCAGCGAACGGGUGAGUAACGCGUGGGGAAUCUGCCUUUGAGCGGGGGACAACAUUUGGAAACGAAUGCUAAUACCGCAUAAAAACUUUAAACACAAGUUUUAAGUUUGAAAGAUGCAAUUGCAUCACUCAAAGAUGAUCCCGCGUUGUAUUAGCUAGUUGGUGAGGUAAAGGCUCACCAAGGCGAUGAUACAUAGCCGACCUGAGAGGGUGAUCGGCCACAUUGGGACUGAGACACGGCCCAAACUCCUAUGGGAGGCAGCAGUAGGGAAUCUUCGGCAAUGGACGAAAGUCUGACCGAGCAACGCCGCGUGAGUGAAGAAGGUUUUCGGAUCGUAAAACUCUGUUGGUAGAGAAGAACGUUGGUGAGAGUGGAAAGCUCAUCAAGUGACGGUAACUACCCAGAAAGGGACGGCUAACUACGUG
Molecule: ribosomal RNA, 497 nt
Filed under: uncultured bacterium
Lineage: Bacteria
Description: partial 16S ribosomal RNA
Rfam family: Bacterial small subunit ribosomal RNA
Source: RNAcentral